RNAcentral lists this long non-coding RNA (961 nucleotides) under Hordeum vulgare. RNAcentral's name for it is "long non-coding RNA (HVUL_LNC002293)". Lineage: Eukaryota; Viridiplantae; Streptophyta; Magnoliopsida; Poales; Poaceae. The record is from RNAcentral.
UUACAGUUCAUUUUUUUCAGAGAGUCCCACUCAGCGGAACUUAAUUAUAGCACUAGAUGAUUAGAUCUGGGGUUAUCUUCCUGACCUGCUACUUUUGGAGAAUUCUGCGUCUCAUUCGCAAUAGCAUCUCCGCGAACUUUGCGUCCACCUUCCUUCAUUUGCAAUAGCAUCUCCAGCAACCUUGCAUCCGCCUUCCCUGCGGCGCCACUCCAAGAACUCUGCUUCUGAGGUCGAUCAUCCGUGUAAGCUUCAAGACCAUUUCUUUGAUGCUUAGACAUGCUUUUUUUUCUUGGAAAAGGAAGCCUUUUAUUAAUUCUUUGCACAAGUAUCUAGGUGAUGUUUUUACUUGUUAGUUUUGCAUCUAGAAAUACUACUUCCACACAACAGAUGGAAGGAAAAUAAUCUGCCUUUUUUGCUGUGCUCCUUUUCUCCCUUUCAGUUCGAUAAUUUAUCGCUUCUUUCUUCACUUCUACAGGUUUUUUCAUCAAUUGCUGCCUUCACCACCUAUUUGGUCCUCCAGGAGCACUUCUAUUGCUUAUUUUUCAUUUCCGCAGAUCGGCAACCUUGCAUCCACCUUCCUAGCCGCACUGCUCUGAUAACUCUGCUUCCGAUUUCCGUGGUCUAUCAUCCGUGUAAGCUUCUAGAUCAUACCUCUGAUGUUUUCACUUGUUAGUUAGUAUGGUGCUCUAUUUUCCUCUAGAUAUACUUUUGCCGGUACAAAAGGAGAAGAAAAUCUGCCUUUUUGGUUGUGCUCAUUUUCUCCCUUUCAGCAGUUUGCUAAUUUACCUCCUGGUUCCCCAUUUCUACAGGUUUUUCAUUCACUGCUGCCUUCACCACCUGUUUGGCCCUCCAUAAGCACUUCUAUUGCUCGAUUUCAUUUCCUCAGAUCACUGCAUUAUAAACCCCCAAAAAAUAUACUUCUACUGCUCGUUUUUCAUUUCCUCAAAUCACUUUAUUAUAC